RNAcentral lists this ribosomal RNA (645 nucleotides) under Sordariomycetes sp. RNAcentral describes it as "eukaryotic LSU rRNA". The stretch from base 255 to 645 matches the Rfam family "Eukaryotic large subunit ribosomal RNA", at positions 1 to 395 of the family's 3401-position model. The record is from RNAcentral. Lineage: Eukaryota; Fungi; Ascomycota; Sordariomycetes.
AAUUCAGUGAAUCAUCGAAUCUUUGAACGCACAUUGCGCCCAUUAGUACUCUAGUGGGCAUGCCUGUUCGAGCGUCAUUACGACCCUUAAGCCUAGCUUAGUAUUGGGAACCUACGUGCGGCAGCUACCCUGUAGCUACCCUGUAGCUCCUUAAAGACAACGGCGGAGACGUGGAGUCCUCUGAGCUUAGUAACUUUUCUAGCUUCUGAAGGCGCCGCGGCCCCUGCCGUAAAACCCCCCAACUCUUUAGUGGUUGACCUCGGAUCAGGUAGGAUUACCCGCUGAACUUAAGCAUAUCAAUAAGCGGAGGAAAAGAAACCAACAGGGAUUGCCUUAGUAACGGCGAGUGAAGCGGCAACAGCUCAAAUUUGAAAGCUGGCCUUCGGGUCCGCGUUGUAAUUUGUAGAGGAUGCUUUUGGUUAGGUGCCUUACGAGUUCCCUGGAACGGGACGCCUUAGAGGGUGAGAGCCCCGUACGUUUGGUUACCGAGCCUCUGUAAAGCUCCUUCGACGAGUCGAGUAGUUUGGGAAUGCUGCUCUAAAUGGGAGGUAAAUUUCUUCUAAAGCUAAAUACCGGCCAGAGACCGAUAGCGCACAAGUAGAGUGAUCGAAAGAUGAAAAGCACUUUGAAAAGAGGGUUAAAUAG